This 495-nucleotide ribosomal RNA is filed under the name uncultured bacterium. RNAcentral's name for it is "partial 16S ribosomal RNA". It matches the Rfam family "Bacterial small subunit ribosomal RNA", at positions 29 to 506 of the family's 1533-position model. The record is from RNAcentral.
AUGAACGCUGGCGGCGUGCCUAAUACAUGCCAGUCGAGCGAACAGACGAGGAGCUUGCUCCUCUGACGUUAGCGGCGGACGGGUGAGUAACACGUGGAUAACCUACCUAUAAGACUGGGAUAACUUCGGGAAACCGGAGCUAAUACCGGAUAAUAUAUUGAACCGCAUGGUUCAAUAGUGAAAGACGGUUUUGCUGUCACUUAUAGAUGGAUCCGCGCCGCAUUAGCUAGUUGGUAAGGUAACGGCUUACCAAGGCAACGAUGCGUAGCCGACCUGAGAGGGUGAUCGGCCACACUGGAACUGAGACACGGUCCAGACUCCUACGGGAGGCAGCAGUAGGGAAUCUUCCGCAAUGGGCGAAAGCCUGACGGAGCAACGCCGCGUGAGUGAUGAAGGUCUUCGGAUCGUAAAACUCUGUUAUUAGGGAAGAACAAAUGUGUAAGUAACUAUGCACGUCUUGACGGUACCUAAGCAGAAAGCCACGGCUAACUACGU